UGACCACCUUAGCAAGAACUUACCUCUCCUUUGCAGUGGAAAAGAGGGAAUCCUGCCUAAAACCUACUUCACGGUGUUACAGAGAAGAUACAGAAAAUGAAAAUGAAAAUAAAAUUUGGUACUACAGCACAAAGGUCCAGCUUGCAGAAUUAAUUGACUGUCUAGACAAAGAUUAUUGGGAAGCAGAACUCUGCAAAAUUCUGGA
This 205-nucleotide long non-coding RNA is filed under the name Homo sapiens (human). RNAcentral describes it as "novel transcript". The record is from RNAcentral. Lineage: Eukaryota; Metazoa; Chordata; Mammalia; Primates; Hominidae.